UACGGAGGGAGCAAGCGUUACUCGGAAUCACUGGGCGUAAAGCGCACGUAGGCGGCUCGUUAAGUCGGAGGUGAAAUCCUGGAGCUCAACUCCAGAACUGCCUUCGAUACUGGCGAUCUUGGAGUCCGGGAGAGGUGAGUGGAACUCCGAGUGUAGAGGUGAAAUUCGUAGAUAUUCGCAAGAACACCAGUGGCGAAGGCGGCUCACUGGCCCGGUACUGACGCUGAGGUGCGAAAGCGUGGGGAGCAAACAGG
This 254-nucleotide ribosomal RNA is filed under the name uncultured bacterium. Its description in RNAcentral is "partial 16S ribosomal RNA". It matches the Rfam family "Bacterial small subunit ribosomal RNA", at positions 524 to 776 of the family's 1533-position model. The record is from RNAcentral.